AUAAUUUAAUUGUAUGCUCAGUAUGAAUUCUUUUACUUUAAAACAAGUUUCUUGUUUAUCAUCAAGAGGCUUUUUCUGCAACUAAAACAUUGGUAUGAAGUUUUAUUGUGCAUAUAUAGACUGUCAUAAAAAUUAUGGGAAUUGAUAAGACUUUAAUCAGUUAGAUGCCCUUACUUUUGUUGUUUGCCCUCUGAUAUUGCCUUAGUAGCUCAUGCAAUUUUAUAUUGAACACUAGUAUCAG
This 241-nucleotide unclassified non-coding RNA is filed under the name Hevea brasiliensis (rubber tree). Lineage: Eukaryota; Viridiplantae; Streptophyta; Magnoliopsida; Malpighiales; Euphorbiaceae. The record is from RNAcentral.